RNAcentral lists this unclassified non-coding RNA (756 nucleotides) under Hevea brasiliensis (rubber tree). The record is from RNAcentral. Lineage: Eukaryota; Viridiplantae; Streptophyta; Magnoliopsida; Malpighiales; Euphorbiaceae.
GGCAGAACAAACACCUGCCAAGUAGACCUAGAACCUCUUCCAACUUCCCCUGCUGCCUCUUUCUCGUUGCUCCAAAUACAACGCUGCCACCUUCUCCGCUGCUCUUUCCUUCUCUUCAAACUUCUCUCAGGUUGGCUUUCUUUCUCUGGGGCUCCACCGGUUCUUCAACUGGUCAGUUCUGAUAAGAAUUGAAGAAUGAGAGGAAGUGUCCUGAGUAAGAUCAUGAGGUAUCUGGGAGAUGCAAAUCUUGCUCAAUAAUAAACAGAAAUUCCAACAAAGAGAAUUAUAGUCUUGGCCCCUGGUUAUAUCAGUGAGAGAUGGCAUCAUGUAAUGCAGAAACAAGAUCAUGCAAGGAUGAGGAGGAAAGAAAAAGCUCAAGCGAGAGGCAUGGUCCUUUGAGCAAGGUUAAUGUUAUAGAUUGUAAUUAUACAGAUAAAACUAGUUUAAUGAGAAAUGCAUCCUUGGAUGGAGAUAUGAAUGUAGAUCCUUCAACCAACAAUAGUUUAGGGUCAGAUGUCACAGAGUUGCAAUGUGAUUUGAAAUCAAAUUGUUCACAAACAAAGAAAGGGAAGAAGAGAAAGAAAAGGCCACAAAUUAAGCAGAAUGGCCAGAUAGACCGUCAAGGGGAUGGUUCUUCAAUAAAGGAUGAUUCUAUUGGAACAAAUUCAUGCAAUGAGCGUGGAGUUGAUACUAAUAUGAAGACAGAUUUGCAAAAACUUCCAAAAUUGAGUCGGUCACAGAAGAAGAGAAUGAGAA